AUUGUCAUAUUUGGGGGUAUAGAUGGAUACUCCAGAAAGAUCAUGUACCUGGAACCAGCCACAAAUAAUCGCUCAAGUACAGCCCUCUCAUUUUUUCUGAAGGCGGUACAAAAUCAUGGCUGGCCUUCACGGGUGAGAGGUGAUGAAGGUGUAGAGAAUGUCAAAAUAGCAGAAACCAUGUUCACAGUAAAAGGUACAUGAAGGGGAAGCUUCAUCGCUGGAAAAAGCGUGCAUAACCAAAGAAUUGAACAUCUGUGGAGAGAUGUCUGGGUCAGUGUUACACAGAUAUAUUAUGAGGUUCUUCACAGCCUUGAAGAAGACUGCCUUUUGGAUAUAUCAAAUACACUUCACCUCUUCUGUGUGCACUACGUUUUCAUAAAAAGGCUGCAGAAUGAUCUGCACACAUUCAGUCAAGGGUGGGACAAUCACCCCUUGCGCACAGAAGGAGGACUAACUCCAAACCAGUUGUGGGUUUUGGGGCAUAUGCAGACCCCUUCCACUGAGGCUGAAGAAAAUGUGCAGGUGGUUGAAAUUAUUGUAUUAUUGUUAAACUGACUGGAAAUACGGACUGCAUCUUAUAAUUUUAUCUGAAUAUAUUCUUUUCUAUAUUUUCUCCCAAC
Non-coding RNA from Paramormyrops kingsleyae, 620 nucleotides. The record is from RefSeq and is a predicted model, not a curated record. NCBI's taxonomy places the organism in Eukaryota, Metazoa, Chordata, Actinopteri, Osteoglossiformes, Mormyridae.